This 500-nucleotide ribosomal RNA is filed under the name uncultured bacterium. RNAcentral's name for it is "partial 16S ribosomal RNA". It matches the Rfam family "Bacterial small subunit ribosomal RNA", at positions 30 to 523 of the family's 1533-position model. The record is from RNAcentral.
AUUGAACGCUGGCGGCAGGCCUAACACAUGCAAGUCGAGCGGAUGACGGGAGCUUGCUCCUUGAUUCAGCGGCGGACGGGUGAGUAAUGCCUAGGAAUCUGCCUGGUAGUGGGGGGCAACGUUUCGAAAGGAACGCUAAUACCGCAUACGUCCUACGGGAGAAAGCAGGGGACCUUCGGGCCUUGCGCUAUCAGAUGAGCCUAGGUCGGAUUAGCUAGUAGGUGAGGUAAUGGCUCACCUAGGCGACGAUCCGUAACUGGUCUGAGAGGAUGAUCAGUCACACUGGAACUGAGAUACGGUCCAGACUCCUACGGGAGGCAGCAGUGGGGAAUAUUGGACAAUGGGCGAAAGCCUGAUCCAGCCAUGCCGCGUGUGUGAAGAAGGUCUUCGGAUUGUAAAGCACUUUAAGUUGGGAGGAAGGGCAGUAAGCUAAUACCUUGCUGUUUUGACGUUACCGACAGAAUAAGCACCGGCUAACUCUGUGCCAGCCGCCGCAGUAA